Carassius auratus (goldfish) is the source of this 2523-nucleotide RNA transcript. It is a transcript of the gene named serine palmitoyltransferase 3-like, with no coding region annotated. The record is from RefSeq and is a predicted model, not a curated record. Lineage: Eukaryota; Metazoa; Chordata; Actinopteri; Cypriniformes; Cyprinidae. The transcript has 13 exons.
UGUCACGACCGAAACUGUCAAAGGCAGCGCCCAGUCGCGUCGCGUCGUUCCUCUGAUGUCCGUGAAUACUUCCUGGUCCAAAGUUGUGUGUACUCAAAUCAAAGUCAGUUGAGCAUGAAGUGGGAUGGUGAACUCAUAUCAGGGAAGUACACUUCAACGGACAUUCACACUUCUCUAAACUGAGGGAUAGAGAAGAGAAGUUAAAUAAUUCAUUCCUCAGUCCUGACGCUUUGCAAACAUGAUACGAGCAGAUGAACAUCAUUUACGCAACGGAACCCUGAAGGCUCAUUCCGACCAGAAACAACAAGGAAGCAACAGUUUGAAAAAUGGAUUCCACGUUGCUGGAAAGGUGCAGAAAAAUGCCAAUGGAGACAGUUUUCAUCAACCUCGAGUUAGGGGGGAAGAUUCGUUUGAGGAAGCCCCCAUGUAUGUGGCUGUCCUGACAUACAUGGGUUAUGGAAUCGUCAUCCUGUUUGGCUAUUUCAGGGAUUUCUUAAGAGCUGUUGGCUUAGAGAAGUGCCAUCAGGCCCAGGAGAGAGAAGAGCAAAAGGACUUUGUUCCCCUUUACCAAGAUUUUGAAAACUUUUACAAACGGAACCUGUACAUGAGAGUCAGGGAUAACUGGAACCGUCCUAUAUGCAGUUUACCCGGUCCAGUUUUUGAUGUCAUGGAAAGGGUCUCGGAUGAUUACAACUGGACUUUCAGGUUAACAGGAAAAACCAUUGAGAACGUCAUAAACAUGGGCUCCUACAACUACCUGGGUUUUGCUGAAAACAAUGUCGACUUCCUGAAAACUGUAGCAGAAGAGACCAGACAGUAUGGGGUGGGCGUCUGCAGUACAAGACAGGAACUAGGCAACUUAAGCAUCCAUGAGAACCUGGAGCAACUUGUGGCGGAGUUCUUGGGGGUGGAGUCUGCAAUGGCUUUUGGAAUGGGUUUCGCCACCAAUUCCAUGAACAUUCCAGCACUAGUCGGAAAGGGCUGCCUGAUCCUGAGCGAUGAGCUAAAUCACACGUCCCUCAUCCUGGGAGCCAGGUUGUCUGGGGCAACCAUUCGAGUCUUCAAACACAACAACAUGCAGAGUCUAGAAAAGCUGCUGAAGGAGGCGAUUUGCUCAGGUCAACCUCGUACCCAUCGUGGUUGGAAGAAGAUCCUCAUCAUGGUGGAGGGCAUUUACAGUAUGGAAGGCUCUCUAGUCCGGUUGCCAGAGAUCUUAGCAUUAAAGAAGAAGUAUAAGGCUUAUCUGUACCUCGAUGAGGCCCACAGCAUUGGGGCCGUGGGCCCCACAGGUCGAGGAGUUACAGAACAUUUUGGCGUGGACCCCAAUGAAGUGGAUGUUCUGAUGGGCACCUUCACCAAGAGUUUCGGGGCUGCUGGCGGGUAUAUCGCAGGGAAAAAGGAGUUGGUGGAUUAUUUGAGGAGUCACUCUCACAGUGCGAUGUACGCUACUGCCAUGUCCCCACCUGUCGUGGAGCAGAUCAUUAGGGCAAUUAAAUGCAUCAUGGGUGUCGAUGGCACGACCGAAGGCCAGCGAAGAGUUCGGCAGCUGUCUGAGAACACGCGCUACUUAAGAUCUCGGCUGAAGGAGAUGGGCUUCAUCGUUUACGGCAACCAGGACUCUCCAGUGGUACCGCUCCUGCUCUAUCUACCUGGGAAAGUUGGGGAGUUCUCACGGGCCAUGUUGAAGAGGAAGAUUGGUGUUGUAGUUGUAGGUUUCCCAGCUACACCCAUUGCAGAGGCCAGGGCUCGCUUCUGUGUGUCUGCCGCCCACACCAGAGAAAUGCUCGAUAAGGUUCUCCAGAACCUUGAUGAGCUUGGAGACCACAUCAGGGUGAAGUUCUCCCGUCGCAGACCUUCUCAUCGGCAGGAGCUGUAUAAUGAAACAGACUUUGAGCGGGACAGCUAAUCACUCAUCGGCAUCACCGUGAGUGUGAUGGCUUGUCCACAUUGAGGGAAUGCCAAGGGGAUUGUGGGAAAAAGGGAGGAUCCGCGACGGCUGUGUUUACAGAACAUAUAUCAAAAGCUGCUCUAAAUAUAUCAAAUAAUUAACUCCCUUAACACUGACCUACAUCAAAACUCUAGAUGUGGAUAAGAAAUCCCUUGAAGUGGCCCUAUUUUUUCUUCCUGCUCCUGGACUGAUGAAAUACCUCCAUUUUUGUGUUGGAUUGUGUAUUUGUGUUAUCAGCAAGUGCAUAAAUUGAAAGAGAUUGAACAAAGCUGGGCGGUUCAGACCCAGCGCUGCUCAUUCAUAGUCAUUAAACAUUCAUGCAUUGCAUCUCGCAGAUCCCAGUCCUGCAAAUGUACAUUGACAGGCAUUUAUUUGCAUUUUUUGUGCAGGAAACUACUUCUAAUUAUAAAACAUUUAUGGACUGAUUGUACUUAUAAAAUGUUUGCUUGGAAAGUUUGAAAUGGUUUUGUCUCAUUUGUUUGCCAAUUUCAGAUGCAGUACUUUUCAUUUGCAUGAUUUUAGAUUUUAUUUCACUCAUAUUUUCUUCAGAAAUAAAAACAUCUGGUUAACGAUGA